UACGGAGGGUGCAAGCGUUAUCCGGAUUCACUGGGUUUAAAGGGUGCGUAGGCGGGCAGGUAAGUCAGUGGUGAAAUCUCCGGGCUUAACCCGGAAACUGCCGUUGAUACUAUCUGUCUUGAAUAUCGUGGAGGUAAGCGGAAUAUGUCAUGUAGCGGUGAAGUGCUUAGAUAUGACAUAGAACACCCAUUGCGAAGGCAGCUUACUACACGAUCAUUGACGCUGAGGCACGAAAGCGUGGGGAGCAAACAGG
This 253-nucleotide ribosomal RNA is filed under the name uncultured bacterium. RNAcentral describes it as "partial 16S ribosomal RNA". It matches the Rfam family "Bacterial small subunit ribosomal RNA", at positions 524 to 776 of the family's 1533-position model. The record is from RNAcentral.